Molecule: long non-coding RNA, 873 nt
Organism: Hipposideros armiger (great roundleaf bat)
Lineage: Eukaryota; Metazoa; Chordata; Mammalia; Chiroptera; Hipposideridae
Exons: 3
Source: RefSeq, a predicted model, not a curated record
AGCGCCAUCUUCAGGAUGACUUCUGGGCCCUGCCCUUCUUCCAGCCCUGCCUCGGGCUGAACCUGUGCCAGAAGCUGGCACUGAAACAGGCCACUCGGAGCAGCUGUCCAAUGACCCCGGGAGCGGAGAACUACUUUAGGACCUGGGGUGGAGAUGUCGCUUGAGGAGGGCAAAGCAGAAUAUGAGAUGGUGUGGGACUUCUGGGUGCCCCAAAAGCACCUUUUCCUGGCAAUGCGACCCAAGGCGAGCUGUUUCGCCAUCUUCCUGACAGUCUGCGCUCCCACCCCGGAGCCCCGCUCUCCCUCCCCGUCCUGCCUCUGCAGUUUGCUCCCGUUCCACUAGCUGCCGGGUUGCUGUGAAGACAAAAGAUGCUUAGAACAUGGCCGGAUACAGAGUGAGCCCUGAAAUGCUAGCUGAAAAGUGUGCUGACUUUCAUAGCGCGAGUGCUGUGGUCCGCAAACCCUCCCUGCGUGCACACGUCCACCCCUCCUAGUCGCCUCUGCUCAGCCCAGCCCCUCCGUCUAGAAUGCUCUUCUCUGCUGGCCGACUCUACUCACCCUGCCAGGGCCACUUGCCUCCCGUUUCCUUCUGGUAAAUGCUGCAUGGUGCUUUCUACAGUGCUGCUCGGCCUGGGCUGGGUGGUGGUGGGCGUGUCAGGUACGUGAAGCCAGCCAUAGGCCACACCUGGCACAUCCUCCUGGAGGGUUCAUUUACUUGAUAAGUAAGUUCAUUCAUCUUUACGUCUAGAGUCCAGACGUAUCAUGGAGUAGAAUGCAAAACUCACCAGAGCUUUUUAAGAUCAAACUCAUAACUACUAAGAAUAUUCAGAGUGGGGCUGGGCGAGUGGUGCGAUGGUUAAGAGCUGGCUUGGGA